CGGGACGGGUGAGUAAUGUAUGGGGAUCUGCCUGAUGGGCGGGGGAUAAUUACUGGAAACGGUAGCUAAUACCGCAUAAUGUCUACGGACCAAAGCGGGGGACCUCCGGGCCUCGCGCCAUCAGAUGAACCCAUAUGGGAUUAGCUUGUAGGUAAGGUAACGGCUUACCUAGGCGACGAUCCCUAGCUGGUCUGAGAGGAUGAUCAGCCACACUGGGACUGAGACACGGCCCAG
RNAcentral lists this ribosomal RNA (234 nucleotides) under uncultured bacterium. RNAcentral describes it as "partial 16S ribosomal RNA". It matches the Rfam family "Bacterial small subunit ribosomal RNA", at positions 100 to 334 of the family's 1533-position model. The record is from RNAcentral.